GGCUGGCAGGCGGCGCUCUGAAUCUCGGGGGUCGGAAGGCCGGAGACCGGACGCCAGGCUUCCUAUCCUGGCCUUGCCCGCCUUUGCCGUGCGGCUUUGGCGAGUCAGCGCUUUCGGCCUCUCUUGCCUCAUCUGUAGAAUGGGAGAGCGAGAAUAACGUCAUCUGUGAGGCGGGGGCAUGAAAUGAAGUCCGUUCUUUUGUCAGGGCUUCUCUGAGCCGAGGUUCUCGAUUCUUCAACGUGGCCCAGGGGUCACAAGCUUUAAUGGUUAUUCAGUCAGGAGGCACCAAAUGAUGGCAGCAGCUCUGGGGGAUCCCGGGCUCUCCAAAUUGCUGUUUGCUCCCUUUAGCAGUGCCUUGGAUGUGGGAUUCUGGCAUGAGUUGACCCAGAGAAAGCUGAAUGAGUAUCGGCUAGACGAAGCUCCGAAGGAUAUUAAGGGCUAUUACUACAAUGGUGAUUCUGCUGGGCUGCCAGCUCGCUUAACGUUGGAGUUCAGUGCUUUUGACAUGAGUGCUCCCACCCCAGCCCACUGCUGCCCGGCUGUUGGAACGCUCUUUAAUACCAACACACUUGAGGCUUUCAAGGCCGCAGAUAAGAAGCUACUUUUGGAGCAAGCAGCAGAUGAGAUAUGGGAAGCCAUAAAAUCAGGCGCUGCUCUUGAAAACCCUGUCCUCCUCAACAAGUUCCUCCUCUUGACAUUUGCAGAUCUAAAGAAGUACCACUUCUACUACUGGUUUUGCUUCCCUGCUCUCUGCCUUCCAGAGAGUAUACCCCUCAUCCAGGGUCCAGUGGGCUUGGAUCAAAGGUUUUCGCCAAAACAGAUUCAAGCCCUUGAGCAUGCAUAUGAUGAUCUUUGUCAAACAGAAGGAGUCCCAGCGCUACCAUACUUCUUAAUCAAGUAUGAUGAGAACAUGGUACUGGUUUCCCUGCUUAAACACUACAGUGAUUUCUUCCAAGACCAAAGGACAAAGAUAACAAUUGGUGUAUAUGAUCCCUGUAACUUAGCGCAGCACCCCGGAUGGCCUUUGAGGAAUCUUUUGGUCCUAGCAGCUCACCGAUGGAGUAGCUGUUUCCAGUCUGUUGAAGUCCUCUGCUUCCGGGACCGCACCAUGCAGGGAAUGAGAGACAUUGCCCACAGCAUCAUCUUCGAAGUGAAGCUUCCAGAAAUGGCAUUUAGCCCAGAUUGUCCCAAGGCGGUCGGAUGGGAAAAAAACCAGAAAGGCGGCAUGGGACCGAGGAUGGUGAACCUCAGUGAAUGUAUGGACCCUAAAAGGUUAGCUGAGUCAUCAGUGGAUCUAAAUCUCAAAUUGAUGUGUUGGAGAUUGGUCCCUACUUUGGACUUAGAGAAGGUUGUGUCUGUCAAGUGUCUGUUGCUUGGAGCCGGCACAUUGGGUUGUAAUGUAGCUAGGACAUUGAUGGGUUGGGGUGUCAGACACAUCACAUUUGUGGACAACGCCAAUAUCUCCUACUCCAAUCCUGUGAGGCAGCCUCUCUAUGAAUUUGAAGAUUGCCUAGCAGGUGGUAAACCCAAGGCCCUGGCUGCAGCAGACCGGCUUCAGAAAAUAUUCCCUGGAGUGAAUGCCAGAGGGUUCAACAUGAGCAUCCCCAUGCCUGGACACCCAGUGAACUUUUCAAGCGUCACCCUGGACCAAGCCCGCAGGGAUGUGGAGCAACUAGAGCAGCUCAUUGAAAGCCAUGAUGUCGUUUUUCUGUUGAUGGACACCAGGGAGAGCCGGUGGCUCCCUGCCGUCAUUGCUGCGAGCAAGAGAAAGCUGGUCAUCAAUGCUGCCUUGGGGUUUGACACAUUUGUUGUCAUGAGACAUGGCUUGAAGAAACCUAAGCAGCAGGGAGCUGGGGACUUGUGUUCUGGUCACCUUGUGGCACCUGCAGACCUCCUGGGCUCAUCCCUCUUUGCCAACAUCCCUGGCUACAAACUUGGCUGCUAUUUCUGCAAUGAUGUGGUGGCCCCAGGAGAUUCAACCAGAGACCGGACCUUGGACCAGCAGUGCACUGUGAGCCGCCCAGGACUGGCCAUGAUUGCAGGAGCCCUGGCUGUGGAAUUGAUGGUUUCUGUUUUGCAGCAUCCAGAAGGGGGCUACGCCAUUGCCAGCAGCAGUGAUGACCGCAUGAAUGAACCGCCAACCUCUCUUGGGCUUGUGCCUCACCAGAUCCGGGGAUUUCUGUCACGGUUUGAUAAUGUUCUUCCUGUCAGCCUGGCGUUUGACAAAUGUACAGCUUGUUCUUCCAAAGUUCUUGAUCAAUAUGAACGAGAAGGAUUUAAUUUCCUAGCGAAGGUGUUUAAUUCUUCACAUUCCUUCUUAGAAGAUUUGACUGGUCUCACAUUGCUGCAUCAAGAGACCCAAGCUGCUGAGGCACAAGAAGAAGAACUCCCAACAUUCAGGCUGCCGUUACUAUAGCAAGACGGUGCUACAGACAUCACAAGACUUGUUAUACAAGGAAACAUGAUUACAGCGGAUUAGAGAAACUCGCCAGAGCCUUGAAGGAUUUAUUACUUUUUGAAUUCUGAAUGAGACAUAAAUAUGUUUUUCCCCUCUUAAUUUUGGACCCCAUACGGAGAAGAUUCUUUGGUUUCUCUGGAAGCUGAAGAGAUAACAUGGGGUAGCAGAUCUGGGACAUGAGCGACGAUGAGACCGUGUGACAUGGCCCACCUGUGUGCGGCUGGCUUCUCCCUGGCUGCGCGCCGAGGAGCCCUGGGCUACCGGAGCAGGACAGCUGCCCCCAGGACCGAUGACUCUGGGCCCUGCACCUUCCAACCUUUGUGGUCUCCUCCUCUGCGUACCCUGAGGGCCGGAGCCCCCUCUCCGCUGCCCAGGAGCUUCUGGGGUUCUCCAGGUCUCAUGAUUCAUGAUCCUACCAGUUCUGAGCUAAAUAAUAACCUUGGCUUUGGCGCUGACAGUGAUCUGGGA
Molecule: RNA transcript, 2926 nt
Organism: Canis lupus familiaris (dog)
Lineage: Eukaryota; Metazoa; Chordata; Mammalia; Carnivora; Canidae
Gene: ATG7
Gene name: autophagy related 7
Exons: 21
Source: RefSeq, a predicted model, not a curated record